GACGAACGCUGGCGGCGUGCCUAAUACAUGCAAGUCGAACGAACUCUGGUAUUGAUUGGUGCUUGCAUCAUGAUUUACAUUUGAGUGAGUGGCGAACUGGUGAGUAACACGUGGGAAACCUGCCCAGAAGCGGGGGAUAACACCUGGAAACAGAUGCUAAUACCGCAUAACAACUUGGACCGCAUGGUCCGAGUUUGAAAGAUGGCUUCGGCUAUCACUUUUGGAUGGUCCCGCGGCGUAUUAGCUAGAUGGUGGGGUAACGGCUCACCAUGGCAAUGAUACGUAGCCGACCUGAGAGGGUAAUCGGCCACAUUGGGACUGAGACACGGCCCAAACUCCUACGGGAGGCAGCAGUAGGGAAUCUUCCACAAUGGACGAAAGUCUGAUGGAGCAACGCCGCGUGAGUGAAGAAGGGUUUCGGCUCGUAAAACUCUGUUGUUAAAGAAGAACAUAUCUGAGAGUAACUGUUCAGGUAUUGACGGUAUUUAACCAGAAAGCCACGGCUAACUACGUGCCAGCAGCCGCGGUAAUGCGUAGGUGGCAAGCGUUGUCCGGAUUUAUUGGGCGUAAAGCGAGCGCAGGCGGUUUUUUAAGUCUGAUGUGAAAGCCUUCGGCUCAACCGAAGAAGUGCAUCGGAAACUGGGAAACUUGAGUGCAGAAGAGGACAGUGGAACUCCAUGUGUAGCGGUGAAAUGCGUAGAUAUAUGGAAGAACACCAGUGGCGAAGGCGGCUGUCUGGUCUGUAACUGACGCUGAGGCUCGAAAGUAUGGGUAGCAAACAGGAUUAGAUACCCUGGUAGUCCAUACCGUAAACGAUGAAUGCUAAGUGUUGGAGGGUUUCCGCCCUUCAGUGCUGCAGCUAACGCAUUAAGCAUUCCGCCUGGGGAGUACGGCCGCAAGGCUGAAACUCAAAGGAAUUGACGGGGGCCCGCACAAGCGGUGGAGCAUGUGGUUUAAUUCGAAGCUACGCGAAGAACCUUACCAGGUCUUGACAUACUAUGCAAAUCUAAGAGAUUAGACGUUCCCUUCGGGGACAUGGAUACAGGUGGUGCAUGGUUGUCGUCAGCUCGUGUCGUGAGAUGUUGGGUUAAGUCCCGCAACGAGCGCAACCCUUAUUAUCAGUUGCCAGCAUUAAGUUGGGCACUCUGGUGAGACUGCCGGUGACAAACCGGAGGAAGGUGGGGAUGACGUCAAAUCAUCAUGCCCCUUAUGACCUGGGCUACACACGUGCUACAAUGGAUGGUACAACGAGUUGCGAACUCGCGAGAGUAAGCUAAUCUCUUAAAGCCAUUCUCAGUUCGGAUUGUAGGCUGCAACUCGCCUACAUGAAGUCGGAAUCGCUAGUAAUCGCGGAUCAGCAUGCCGCGGUGAAUACGUUCCCGGGCCUUGUACACACCGCCCGUCACACCAUGAGAGUUUGUAACACCCAAAGUCGGUGGGGUAACCUUUUAGGAACCAGCCGCCUAA
Molecule: ribosomal RNA, 1467 nt
Filed under: Lactiplantibacillus pentosus
Lineage: Bacteria; Bacillati; Bacillota; Bacilli; Lactobacillales; Lactobacillaceae
Description: bacterial SSU rRNA
Rfam family: Bacterial small subunit ribosomal RNA
Source: RNAcentral